RNAcentral lists this ribosomal RNA (460 nucleotides) under uncultured bacterium. RNAcentral describes it as "partial 16S ribosomal RNA". It matches the Rfam family "Bacterial small subunit ribosomal RNA", at positions 338 to 795 of the family's 1533-position model. The record is from RNAcentral.
CCUACGGGAGGCAGCAGUGAGGAAUAUUGGUCAAUGGGCGCGAGCCUGAACCAGCCAAGUAGCGUGAAGGAUGACUGCCCUACGGGUUGUAAACUUCUUUUAUAAAGGAAUAAAGUGAGGCACGUGUGCCUUUUUGUAUGUACUUUAUGAAUAAGGAACGGCCAACACCUUGCCAGCAGCCGCGGUAAUACGGAGGAUUCGAGCGUUAACCGGGUUUUUUGGGGUUAAAGGGUGCGUGGGGGGCCAUUUAAGUUCGCGGUGAAAGUCUGUGGGUCAACCAUAGAAUUGCCGUUGAAACUGGCGGGCUUGAGUGUGUGUGAGGCAGGCGGAAUGCGUGGUGUAGCGGUGAAAUGCUUAGAUAUCACGCAGAACCCCGAUUGCGAAGGCAGCCUGCCAGGCCAUGACUGACGCUGAUGCACGAAAGCGUGGGGAUCGAACAGGAUUAGAUACCCUUGUAGUC